ACGGGAGGCAGCAGUGGGGAAUAUUGGGCAAUGGGCGAAAGCCUGACCCAGCGACGCCGCGUGAAGGAUGAAGGUCUUCGGAUUGUAAACUUCUGUCGACAGGGAAGAAACAAAUGACGGUACCUGUUGAGAAAGCCACGGCUAACUACGUGCCAGCAGCCGCGGUAAUACGUAGGUGGCAAGCGUUAUCCGGAUUUACUGGGUGUAAAGGGUGUGUAGGCGGGAUUGCAAGUCAGAUGUGAAAAUUAUGAGCUUAACUCAUAACCUGCAUUUGAAACUGUAGUUCUUGAGAGUCGGAGAGGUAAACGGAAUUCCUGGUGUAGCGGUGAAAUGCGUAGAUAUCAGGAGGAACACCGGUGGCGAAGGCGGUUUACUGGACGACAACUGACGCUGAGACACGAAAGCGUGGGGAGCAAACAGGAUUAGAUACCCUGGUA
RNAcentral lists this ribosomal RNA (437 nucleotides) under uncultured Oscillospiraceae bacterium. RNAcentral describes it as "bacterial SSU rRNA". It matches the Rfam family "Bacterial small subunit ribosomal RNA", at positions 341 to 792 of the family's 1533-position model. The record is from RNAcentral. Lineage: Bacteria; Bacillati; Bacillota; Clostridia; Eubacteriales; Oscillospiraceae.